This 552-nucleotide unclassified non-coding RNA is filed under the name Hevea brasiliensis (rubber tree). Lineage: Eukaryota; Viridiplantae; Streptophyta; Magnoliopsida; Malpighiales; Euphorbiaceae. The record is from RNAcentral.
GAAUUCCAUAUCAAUUUAUUCAAACCAUUCUUGGAUAAACACCUAAUAGAAGUUCACAUCAAUAGGGAAAUCUAGAAUCUGUACAAUGCUUACCAAUGUUGGAUAAGCACCUAUUAUUCAUGAGUAUAAAAUCAUAGCUGAAUUACUUGAGGCACAAAUUACAUUCUCAAGAUUGAACUGAAAAAGACCAGCAUGUUCUGUUUCUUGAAUGCAUCUUCUAUUCAAGACAAACCCCAAUCGGAGUUCACGUGAAGCGCUCCAUAUGACAACAGAUCCUAUUUGAGGCUGUUGGAAGAUGCCUCAAUUGCUGCAAAUAAGAAGUUAGAAGAAGAAAGUUUAUCUCCAAACUAACAACUUCUAUCAUGUUUUUUGAAUUUUCUGUUGUUUUUUGAAUUUGUAAUCUUCAGCAACAAUUAUAUUAUAAAAAUGCAGAAGCAAUCAAUAUAAGUGUGACAAUUUUUCAGACCCAAAAAGAAAACUUUCUUGUUCUUUUUCUUUGUAAACCAGUUUUGUCAGGGAAGUUGUUGUUUAUAACCAUACAUGUUAAGAGAA